GCCUCGGUAGCUCAGUCAGCAGAGCGUGGGACUUGUAAGAUCCCAAGGUCGAGGGUGCAAAUCCCUCCCGAGGCU
Molecule: transfer RNA, 75 nt
Filed under: Candidatus Woesearchaeota archaeon
Lineage: Archaea; Nanobdellati; Candidatus Woesearchaeota
Description: tRNA-Thr
Rfam family: tRNA
About the family: Transfer RNA (tRNA) molecules are approximately 80 nucleotides in length.
Source: RNAcentral